This 468-nucleotide ribosomal RNA is filed under the name uncultured bacterium. RNAcentral describes it as "partial 16S ribosomal RNA". It matches the Rfam family "Bacterial small subunit ribosomal RNA", at positions 28 to 507 of the family's 1533-position model. The record is from RNAcentral.
GACGAACGCUGGCGGCGUGCUUAACACAUGCAAGUCGAACGGAAAGGCCCAGCUUUUGUGGGGUGCUCGAGUGGCGAACGGGUGAGUAACACGUGAGUAACCUGCCCUUGACUUUGGGAUAACUUCAGGAAACUGGGGCUAAUACCGGAUAGGAGCUCCUGCUGCAUGGUGGGGGUUGGAAAGUUUCGGCGGUUGGGGAUGGACUCGCGGCUUAUCAGCUUGUUGGUGGGGUAGUGGCUUACCAAGGCUUUGACGGGUAGCCGGCCUGAGAGGGUGACCGGCGACAUUGGGACUGAGAUACGGCCCAGACGGCUACGGGAGGCAGCAGUGGAGAAUAUUGCACAAUGGGCGGAAGCCUGAUGCAGCAACGCCGCGUGCGGGAUGACGGCCUUCGGGUGGUAAACCGCUUUCGCCUGUGACGAAGCGUGAGUGACGGUAAUGGGUAAAGAAGCACCGGCUAACUACGUG